Molecule: ribosomal RNA, 204 nt
Filed under: uncultured bacterium
Lineage: Bacteria
Description: partial 16S ribosomal RNA
Rfam family: Bacterial small subunit ribosomal RNA
Source: RNAcentral
ACGCUCGACACCUACGGGAAGCAGCAGUCGGGAAUAUUGCGCAAUGGAGGAAACUCUGACGCAGUGACGCCGCGUAUAGGAAGAAGGUUUUCGGAUUGUAAACUAUUGUCGUUAGGGAAGAAAAAGGACAGUACCUAAGGAGGAAGCUCCGGCUAACUACGUGCCAGCAGCCGACGGUAAUCUGAGGCGGGCGUGGACGAAGGC